GCCUCCUCCCCAAUCGACCUCUCUCUCCCGCACAUGUCUCCCUCGUCCGCCGCCGCCGCAAGCCAUCCUUCCCCGCCCUCUCACCUCCUCUCCCACCUCCUUCCACUCCCUCCUGUCAUCUCCUCCUUCCACUCCAACCUCCACUGAGCCGCUGCCAUGGCGACUGAGCUGCCAUUCGUCCCUCUCCCUCCUCGCGCCUGGAACGCUAGCUCGUGGACAUGCCGACCGUACGCGCCGCAGGCAGGGCAAGAACUGCAGCACCCCAACACGUCGACAAGGGAGGUUAGCAAAGAUUGGACGGGGAUGGACGAGCUAGACAUGGAUGGCGUCAACGUGGCCAAGCCCGAGUUCGCGUACCCUACUGGUCGUAUUCUGAAUAAUAGUGCAAGGUACUUUGAGUAAAUGGUCUGCAAAUCAGUGCAUCUGGAGUGCUAGGAUGUGUGGGGACAAAAAGAUGCCAUUGCAUAGGCCCGUUGGCAGAGAAAUCAAAGGUUGGGAAUACCACGCUUUACCAGGCGUUGUCGGCAAUGAUUGAUGAGAUAAUUGGUUUAGCUGCUUUCGGAAGAGGCGACGGGAAUCAUAAAAACCACGAUGGCUAUGGAGAUUCAACAUAUAGAAAGAUGGAAGAGGUUCCCACUCUCUCUCUCUCUCUCUCUCUCUCUCUCUCCCUUCCACUUUCUUUUGAUUUAAUCCCCAGUCUUAUUUAUCUAUGCCUACAUGGUGUGCGGCUGCAAGGAAAUAUUACUCUCUGCAAUAUUAGUGCUCCAUUGCCUACUCAACAGUGUCUUUUUUUUCUUCUGAAAUUUAGCUGCAGUCUUGGAUCACUUACCUGUACAGUACGUUACAUCUCACGGUUAUCUGACUUGCUUAUGCAAUAUAUCUCAUCAUUCAUAUAUAUGUUUAAUUUGUGGAGAAAUAUAUUUGUUGCUAUGUUGUUUGAGAUUUACAUCCUCUGUUCCAUGAGUUAAGAGGAUAUUUUUAGAGGUUUCCGUGUUACUCAUAUAGGUUUGGUAGUUAUAUUUUGGUUAGAACCUUGCUGCUCCUAACCACUGGUUAUGUGUUUUUGGGACAAGGUGCUUUGUACAUUAUGAUUGGUUAUGUAUGUGUCAUGGAUUAAAUGUAUUUAUGCUUCUGCACAAUUUUUAAUCUAUAAUUCGUUUUCCUGCCAACAAGCAUCACAAGUAAUAUCGAGAGCGAGCAGUUGCAGAUGAGAGGGGAGACGAGCGUGGGUGGAGGUCAGGCUUUGUCAAGGGAGACGUGGGUACUUCUGUUAGUUGAGAAGACAUUACAAUUGCGCAACAGUCAGGAAUAAAUGUUAUUCUUCCUCUGAUAUAUUGCAGCAAAUUCAGUUUAUGUGUCCUCCGAUUAUUUCUUCUAUUUUUUGGCCUUGUGCUUUUAGCAGUACAUGGUCCAGUAGUAAUCGGGGACUCAGGGGAAGGGCAGUUCUAUCUUCUAUGUGAGGUUGACUACUUUUGAUUCGCAUGUCCUCCUGAAUCAGCUAUGUAUGAAAGCAGAGGCCCUCCAAAUUAGAUGGUAGUGUUUAGAAUUAAUGAUUUAUCCCAUGUGAAUUGACCUUUUCUCUGUUCUUUCAUCCUUUUUGUUUAGAGUUAAUGAUUUAUCCAGUGCUGCCCAUUGCAUGCUCACCGGACUUUUAAAAAGCUUCAUCUUAGUUUGCUAAAUGUUCUUUCCUACUGAACUAGCUUCAGAACGAUUGGUUGGUUUAUUAGCCAUUUGAUUUUUUUGUUCAUUUCACGUUUGCUACUAACAAAUAUUCAAAAAAAUAGUGUUCCUGUUAACUAAUUUUGGAUCGUAUUUGUUGGAGAUCCUCUGUUCUUGUUCUCUGUGCGCCGGAUCUGUUGCUGCGGCCCUCGAUCUGUUCGUCCACUGCGGUCUGCGGGUGCUCGUGCUUCUGGUCGAUUCGUCCUGCUACGUCGGUCAUCGUUCUGCAGUUAUUUGUGAUUUGAAAGCAACUGAUGACUCAAUAUCAAUCAGUGCACGGAGGGAACUCUUCUCCACCAUGCUGACGACAGGAAAGGGGAAAAUCCAGUCUGCAGUGCCAUCGAUGAACAAGGUGAUGCAAAUCAAUAUCUUGCUUUGUCUAUGCUAUGAAGUGGCCUAAGCGCUAUACCACGGGGAACCAGGAACGGUUACUUUCCUGGUGACCUUAUUAUUCGGUAUGGUGCUUGCAAAUUGAUCUUUUGUUGUGUUUAUUCACUGAAGCUUGUACUGUCAAACAGAGUUGCUAUUGUAUUGAUGCCUUGGAAUGUUGUUAAAUCAAGUAAUGCAGCUGAAUUUGUCUGCUACUCCCCCUGUCCCAAAAUAUAAGAACGUUUUUAACACUACACUAAUGUCAAAAACGUUCUUAUAUUAUGGGACGGAGGGAGUACAUGUUAAUCUUGCUCUUUGAUACUUGUUCACAAUUGUUUACUUGAUGCUUGAUGGCAACUGCUAUUCUUACAAGACUAUCAAUCUGAGAUAUUAUCAUAACUCAGAAAAAUGAGAUGUGCACAUAUGUUUGUAUUUUGAUUUACUAAUGGUUUCCUUCAUGUGAAUGUUUUAUUGCAUUAUCUGAUUUCUAAUCUGUAGUAAAUGUGACACAAGUUUAUCAUUUAUCAUUGUAUGGAGUGAACCGAGGCAGCAACUAGCUGGACGUGGAAGUGUUGUUCCUGAAGGAGAAGUAUGAGGUUGUGCUUGAGAAGAUCUCCAGGCUGGAGGAGAUGGCUUCUCUAUUCAUUUAUUUUCUCCCUGAAGCAUGGGAUGUCGGAUUCAGAGCAACAAGGCGACUAAAGGAUGGGGUUAUCGCAAGGAGGCACACACAUGGAUGAUCGGUGAGGUCGCUAGAGCUUAUGAGGUGGAGUGAGGAACAAGAGCGGAACGGAUUCUGUCACCACGAUGUUGAAAGGGAUGUGCACCACUGUUUUUGUGCCUAUAUUAAAGUAUAUUUGUGUGAUGAGCAGCUACAGCUUGUGUUUGCAAAUUUGUUCCUUUUUAGCUUUAACCAUUUUUUGUGAAGAAAAUAUUUUGUAAACCAGUGCAAACUUUGCCUGAAUUACCAUCCAUUUGGCAAAAUGUUAAAGCAGAUUAGAUCAUUCCUCGCAAUAAGCAUUGGAGUGAAGUUUCAACCCA
Triticum aestivum (bread wheat) is the source of this 3126-nucleotide long non-coding RNA. RefSeq lists it as uncharacterized. Lineage: Eukaryota; Viridiplantae; Streptophyta; Magnoliopsida; Poales; Poaceae. The transcript has 10 exons. The record is from RefSeq and is a predicted model, not a curated record.